CCAGACUGCAGCAUACCAAUCUCAUAUUCGAGUGUCACAAUAGUAAAUCUACUGUACAUAAUUUGAAAUUUGAAACUAUGGAUACUCAAACUACCGUUCUAUCUGUGCUAUACUAUAUAUAACUCUAUCAAACUGUAAUAACUCAUGAACAUUAACAGGAAACGACACGAAUCAAACACAGGAGUUACUGGUUAACGAAGUUUCUGAUAUGGGUUAUCAUUUCUUGGGUUCGGGAAUGUGAAAGCUGGUAAUUAUGCAGCACUUGGAAGGCAUGGCCUACGCCUUUGAAAAGAACUGUUUCAACCCUUUUUCCUGCUUUAGCCAAAGCUUUUGAGAACUCCAAGUUCCUAUCUUUCAGUAUAUCCAUUUCUGAAACGCACACCAUAAUGGAAGAAACCCUCAAAUCUCUCAACUUGACCGUGCCAUGUGCAAGAGGGUUGCAAUAUGGGUGGUCACGGGUGGCUCCAAGAGGAAGCGCCAAGCGCCAGUAAGUGUCGGAAACGGAUAAAGUGAGCGCCGAAUUGGGUGGCUGAAGGAAAUGCUUCUCAGAGCUAGUUCUUUCUUCUCCUCCGAAGAAAGGUUGGAUCAGUAUGACACCCUUGAGGGAUAAUGGUGUUGUCGUGUUUGAUGAUGAUGAUGAUCCCAUGCGGGUGGCCACAUUAUAAGCUAUGUUGGCGCCUGCACUAUCACCGGCGAGGAAAACGGAAGACAUGUCGCAGUGAGUCAGCCACCACUUUUGCGCACUAGAGAUGUUCUGUGCUUCUCUUUUGACCCACGCGAGAGCGUUGAAACCGUCAUCGUAUGCCACGGGAAGACGAUUCUCUGGGGCUAAGUGAUAAUCCACAGAGAGAAUGACACAGUUUGCUUUGGAAGCAAGGUUGGUCAAGAACUCGUGGUAACAGCUCCAAGCAGCGGAACCAACACAGAAUCCACCACCGUGGAAGUACACAAUCAAAGGAAGAGCCUUUGUGUGAUAACUCAUUGAAGGAGACAGUAGGCACAAUCGGUGGUCUCUCUACACGUCCAUCUCUGUGGACUCUAAUGAGUCCUUGGAUCUCUUCGGUGAUGAUUUCACGUUGCUGGUUGGUGUUGUUCACUUGAGGGUUAUGCCUGAGUGAAAUGGUAGCCAUGAUAUUGUUGAAGAGUGAAAAUCUAAACUCUCCUUAAUUUUGAUCGAUGCUAUGUGGUUUGGUCCUUUUAUAGAAGAUUAGAGAAUAAAGAGAAGGGAAGCUGAGCAAUUGGAAGGGUUGAAGUUGGAAAGAAGCUUCAUUCUGAUAGCCAUGUGCUGUUAUGAAGAUUCCCGCGUGAAGUUUUAAUAUUU
Molecule: small RNA, 1321 nt
Filed under: Vigna angularis var. angularis
Lineage: Eukaryota; Viridiplantae; Streptophyta; Magnoliopsida; Fabales; Fabaceae
Description: Non-protein coding transcript
Source: RNAcentral